This 217-nucleotide ribosomal RNA is filed under the name uncultured bacterium. Its description in RNAcentral is "partial 16S ribosomal RNA". It matches the Rfam family "Bacterial small subunit ribosomal RNA", at positions 122 to 334 of the family's 1533-position model. The record is from RNAcentral.
UAACCUACCCAUCAGAGGGGGAUAACACUUGGAAACAGGUGCUAAUACCGCAUAACAGUUUAUGCCGCAUGGCAUAAGAGUGAAAGGCGCUUUCGGGUGUCGCUGAUGGAUGGACCCACGGUGCAUUAGCUAGUUGGUGAGGUAACGGCUCACCAAGGCCACGAUGCAUAGCCGACCUGAGAGGGUGAUCGGCCACACUGGACUGAGACACGGCCAG